Ictidomys tridecemlineatus (thirteen-lined ground squirrel) is the source of this 4428-nucleotide non-coding RNA. The record is from RefSeq and is a predicted model, not a curated record. NCBI's taxonomy places the organism in Eukaryota, Metazoa, Chordata, Mammalia, Rodentia, Sciuridae.
CUAUAGCUUACUUUGUUUCCAGGAAGAAAUUUUUCAUAAGUUUCUCUUUAAAGUUCAAGGCAAAGGCACAGAUAAAAUAAACUCGAUCACAUGUGAAUGAUUUCACAUCUUUAGAUUGUACUUCCAAGCAAAUUUCCAUGUUGUUUAUGUCCAAAUUUUCUUCAUCUUGAUUCAAAUGUGGGUAAUUCAUGGGGGAAAAAAGUUUUUGUUACAAAGACUCAAAAGCUUUAUGAGCAAAAUUAGGGGAAAUUGUGUUUUAUUAAGUUAGAUUUGAGUAACUGUUGAGAAGUUUCCCAAAUUGAGUUUCCUUAUAGAUGUGAUUAAGCCUGGCAUGUGUGCAUUUGGCUCAUUCUUAAAACAAGCAAAUCAACAAAACUUUUAUUAUGGAAAAUUGUAAACAGGCAAGUUUUAAAAAGGAAGUCUCAUCUGUCUGUCAUACAGAUGUUAUUUCUAUCAUUUCAAUGACAAACUUGUUCCCUUUCUAACUGCUCAACACCCACCUCCAUCCCUUCUGUGUUAUUUUUAAGCAAAUCAACUCAGUACCUUCUUGACAGGGCCCACUAGUUGCUAUCUGUAUCAGUGUAUUUUCCAUUGCUAUAACAAGAUACCUGAGGCUGGGAACUUUAUUAUAAAGAAAUUUUAAAAAGCCUUACUUAGUUCAUACUUUUGGAGACCAAAAAUCCAAGCAGUGUGGCACCAGCUCUGAAGAGGGGAUCUUUCCCUGUAUCCUGUCAUGACAGAUGACAUCAUGGUAAAGAGGGAGUUCAUGUUGCCAGAGAGAUGGGGGAGGAAGGAGCCAGUCUUGCUUGCCUUUUCGUAACAGCCCUCUCCAUAGAACUAACCGUAGACCUAUGGGAAUCAUGUUCAUUUGUCCCAAGAGCAUCACCCUCAAUGACCCAGUUCUUCCUACUACUGCCCACCACCCCCCAGUACUGCCAGCCAUGACCCGUGGGGACAGACGACAUCUAAGCCGUAGCACCCUCCCAGGUGGGCAGGACAGCCACGUUGCUGUGCUAUCAGUGAUGUCAGCCCAUCUUCUGGUAAUGGUGACUCUCUGCAGACAUGACCCAGGACCUUCGCUGAGCUGCCUGUAUUCCUGAACAUGUUUUCCUUUUUGUAGUACCGGGGAUGGAGCCCAGGGGCUGAAGCUUGCCAGGCAAGCACUCUACCACUGAGCCGCAGCCCAGACCCAAGACAUCGGCUCUCAUAUGUAUUUUUGAAAAUCCCAAAUUGGAGUUUCAAAUGUAGGAGCAAAAUAUUUCAGGACCUGAAUGUGCAUACGAAUGAGUAGUUGUAUAAAAUCCUGGAAGAUGGCACCCUGCUUCCGAAGAGGCGGACAGCAGAAGGUCGCCCACUGUGGUGCUCUAGUUUGGUUAUUAUUAAUAUUAAUCCUCUCUGUUCAUGUUCCUGCCUUUGGUUGGAGGGGAGGAGGUCCUGACUGGGAAAGGGGUCUGGGAAGCUCUCUCCAGAACGCCGUCUUUCACAAUUUGUUGUUGGGCCGACCACUGGUCCCCCACGCCCACAUGGCCCCAUGUCUUCCCCCCUCUCCUGCUCACUAGAUUGAGCUGGGCCUGUGGCUGCCCGGGUGGGGCCAUGGGGCUCCAAUUCUUGGGGAUGCCCUGAGCAGCCAUGGUCUCCCUUACCUACUUAAAAGAAGACGCACCCCUCUUCCCCCCCAAAGCAGAGACGCAACCCUGCGCCCGUGUUUGGGCCCAGAGAGUGACAGCGCGGGGGAAGGUGGCAGAACUGAGUCCCAGGUGAUCCCCGGAUGACCCACAGCCUCGCCCCUACCCAGGAGGAACAGAGAAGCGGCUCUUGGUGUCAGCCCCACAGAAGGGAGGAGCAACUCCACAGGCACCCAGAAUCGGCUUAGAUGUUGGAACUGACCAUAGCAUAAAGUCUGGGGCAAGGAGUCAAGAUUCCCUGCUUCCUGGGGGCUUUCUGGUGAGAGACGGGCAGACACAGGUUGGUCCAGCUGAGGUGGGCUUUAGCUGUUAUGGCCCCUAGGAGGCAAAACGGGAGUCUCUGCUGCGGUCAGCUAGCUCAGGUGUGAGGCCAGAUGGGGGCAGGGCGGGGGGUGUCGAGACCUGUGAGUGUCCCAAUGCAGAAGAAAGUCAUCCUCGUAGUUACGAUCCUGUAUGAACACAGUAAUAAGAACUGCCAACCAACCAAGCAGACUCUUCAGACUAGAAAGACCUAUUUUGACCAUGAGAGAACCCACAUUCCAAAUACUAGGAAAAUACUACUUUCUUACAGCCAGUGUCUAACCCUGAAAGAUGUCACCUGCCCACACAGGAGGGAAAGUCACUGAGGCCCGUGACCACGGUACAUUUUCUUAGGAUGUUUACAUGAAUUUUAGUCUUGUCAAGAGGUGUUGGGGGUAGGAGGAGGGAUGAACCUUACGCUCAAACUUCCAGUGAACGCCCCUAGCUACAGUCAAGUGGCCGCCCUCAGCAGAAGACUCACUGAGGCUGUGUCCCUGUGCUGUGUUCGGUGUUAGAUACAGAUUGUUACAUACACACCUGAAGGCAUUCAAUCCUGAUAGCUUUGCAAAACUUACAAAGCAACUUACAAAAUUCUUAAACAAUCCUCUGUCAGACCACAUGUCACCAUUACUCACAAAGCGCUAGAACAAUUAUGCAAAUCAUAUCCUAGAAAUAGCUCUGGGUAUCCCAUAAUUCCUCAAGACAGAUAUGCAAAUGAGGCUGAUCGUGACUGUGGGUUCAGAGAAUGACACUCACCACGGCUCUGCUGUGCAUGUCACUCUGUACCGUGAACGCCUGUGCGGGUCCCUUCCUUUCUCCUCUGUCUGGCACACUGCCAGGCGUGUGGGUCAAACCCAGGAGGAAAUGGGAAACAGAAGGGGGUGCGGGUCUUCAAUAAGAGGACCAGGGAGACCCUACAGUACUCCUGCACGUCGCACCUGACAGUUCCAGUCCCGAUUAGUUAAUAAGAGAACAUUAGGUUGGCAUUGAAACAAAUCAUUUCCAAAGCCUUCCGAAUUGUAGCCCGUGUGCCUCUUCAAGACAGUGAAGCCAGCCCUUGCUCUUUCCAGGUUCAGAUAGCGCCUAAGAAACCACACAGACGCACAGUGCCUGGGGGUGGGGCGGCUCGGAGCCUGGGAAGUGUCUGAAUGGCUCCCCACCUGUCACAGGGUGGCCACUUACACCUUGAUUUUGUAAAUGACUAAAUGAUUCUUCCUAGAACUACCAAGUUAGUAACAGCUUUAAUUUACCUGUCUCCUUAAUGUGACUGGGAGAUAAGAUCAUUGCAUGUUUGCCUUGACGUUACAAAGCAAGCAUUCUUUCAGGAUUUCUCUGCGUGAUUGUAAGUGACUGUAAGACUUCAGGCUUUCAGAUGCCAAUUUCAAGCUUUAUUUACCUGUAUACAGGGUGGGUUGGAUACCUAGUAUCUACUUGGUGUCUGCCGUGGUACCUAGUACCUGCUUAGCUUCCCCCAGAUACCUGGAACCUACAUAGCUUCCCCCGAGUGAGUGCCUAGUACCUACUUAGUCUCCCCUGGGUACUUCCUACCUGCUUAGUCUCUCCUAGAUACCUAGUAUCUACUUAGCUUCACCUGGGUAACUAGUACCUACUUGGCCUCUCCUGCCACUUGCCCCCUUUUUCUCGUAAUCAAAAGUACACGAUAACCCUCUUCUGUGCUGUAAGCUUGCUGUUGCUCCCCUCCUUGGGGAGGGGCCAGGGUGGUCUUCUGAGGGUCACUGUUGAUUUCUGUUCAGCUCUGACAGCCCCUUGGCUGGUUCUCCCCACAGCAAGACUGGAUGUGACACACUUCCUCUGUUAAAAGGACCAUACUCCUUACUGGCACUUGGACAUUUGGGUAAAACUAGAACAGAAAACUUGGAGGAGAAAAUGGUGUGCUUUUAUUUCACUUAGAGAAAUGUAUUUUUAAAUAGAUUCCAGAGUGAGGAGAGAGAGCAGAGGGAGGCAGAAACAUGUAAGAACUCAGGAGGAGGGGAAGAUGGAACGGGGACCAUUUUUGUUCUGGUUUUGUGGUUUUUCCUUCUCCCUCAGUCGGUAAGUGGAGAUGCACUGCCCAGCACCCAGUACAGACAGCGGAUCUCCUUAUCCUGCGGCCCUGUCUUGGUCCGUCUCUGGGUGGGCGUCUGUCUUGCUCUGUGGUUCUGGGUGUCUCUGCCAAGUUCCUCCAAUUAACUGGCUGCCUCAUCAGCAAGAAAACUGGCCCCUCCUCUCCGCGGGUCCUUCCUCACGGCCUGACAUGGCUGCAGCCUUCCAGUCCGGCGGCCAUCUGUGACGGGACAGGACAGCUGGAUUCCUUCCGACACUUUUCCUGAUUCCUGCAAUAGAUGGGUGAUCUCAGAAAGUUUAAGCACCUACGGAUCAAAACUGUGAAGUGCAAUUAAACAGGACUGUCCUCGUCUUAACUAAUAAAUCACGUCCAACCCUU